AGUAAUGCGUAGGAAUCUGCCUCAUUGAGUGGGAUAGCCUAGGGAAACUUAGGGUAAUACCGCAUAAGCCCUAAGGGGGAAAGCAGGGGACCGAAAGGCCUUGCGCGAUGAGAUGAGCCUACGUCGGAUUAGCUAGUUGGUGGGGUAAAGGCCUACCAAGGCGAUGAUCCGUAGCUGGUCUGAGAGGACGACCAGCCACACUGGGACUGAGACACGGCCCAGACUCC
This 227-nucleotide ribosomal RNA is filed under the name uncultured bacterium. Its description in RNAcentral is "partial 16S ribosomal RNA". It matches the Rfam family "Bacterial small subunit ribosomal RNA", at positions 109 to 339 of the family's 1533-position model. The record is from RNAcentral.